ACGGGUUGAUAUUCCCGUACCCGUGUGCGUGCGACAAGUGAUGAAUCUUAUGGUACUAACCGCCCGCCUACGUGCACUGGUCUUUUUGGUUGGUGUGUGUGGGUGCGUGGGAUCUUCGUGGGUAGUAGUCAAGUGAUGGGGUGACGCAGAGUGGUAGCUAGGCUUCCUUAUUGGAUUGGAGUGCAAGCGUGUGGCCUGUGGGGUUGGGAAAUCCGCCCCGCAUAUGAGGUGAGGCGUGAUGCGGACACCAUGUUGUGGUGGUAGUUAGUGUGCCUGUGCUGUCUAGAAAAGCCUCUAGCGAGUGCGUGCAUGGCCCGUACCGGAAACCGACACAGGUGGUCAGGUAGAGAAUACUAAGGCGUUCGGGUGAACUGUGGUUAAGGAACUCGGCAAAAUGCCCCCGUAACUUCGGGAGAAGGGGGACCAUUACUGGUUGCUGACAGCAUGAUGGCUGGUGGUGGUCGCAGAGGAGAGAGGGAAGCGACUGUUUAUUAAAAACACAGGUCCGUGCGAAAACGUGGAAGUUGAGGUAUACGGACUGACGCCUGCCCGGUGCUGGAAGGUUAAGAGGACCCGUGAGCACAUCUUUGUGGUGUGCGAGGCGGAGAAUUGAAGCCCCAGUAAACGGCGGUGGUAACUAUAACCAUCCUAAGGUAGCGAAAUUCCUUGUCGGGUAAGUUCCGACCUGCACGAAUGGCGUAACGACUUCCCUGCUGUCUCAACCACAGGCCCGGUGAAAUUGCAGUACGAGUAAAGAUGCUCGUUUCGCGCGGCAGGACGAAAAGACCCCGGGACCUUUACUAUAGCUUGGUAUUGGUGUUUGGUCAUGCUUGUGUAGGAUAGGUGGGAGACUGUGAAGCCGCAACGCUAGUUGUGGUGGAGUCGCAGGUGAAAUACCACUCUGGUGUGAUUGGGUACCUGAACCUUGGCCCGUGAUCCGGGUUGGGGACAGUGCCUGGUGGGUAGUUUAACUGGGGCGGUUGCCUCCUAAAUGGUAACGGAGGCGCCCAAAGGUUUCCUCAGUCUGGUUGGCAAUCAGAUGGUGAGUGUAAGUGUAUAAGGGAGCUUGACUGUGACACUGACGGGUGGAGCAGGUGCGAAAGCAGGGACUAGUGAUCCGGCACCUACGUGUGGUUGUGGUGUCGCUCAACGGAUAAAAGGUACCCCGGGGAUAACAGGCUGAUCUUCCCCAAGAGUUCAUAUCGACGGGAUGGUUUGGCACCUCGAUGUCGGCUCGUCGCAUCCUGGGGCUGGAGUAGGUCCCAAGGGUUGGGCUGUUCGCCCAUUAAAGCGGCACGCGAGCUGGGUUUAGAACGUCGUGAGACAGUUCGGUCUCUAUCCGCCGCGCGCGU
RNAcentral lists this ribosomal RNA (1352 nucleotides) under human metagenome. RNAcentral describes it as "bacterial LSU rRNA". It matches the Rfam family "Bacterial large subunit ribosomal RNA", at positions 1422 to 2654 of the family's 2925-position model. The record is from RNAcentral.